Molecule: non-coding RNA, 386 nt
Organism: Monodelphis domestica (gray short-tailed opossum)
Lineage: Eukaryota; Metazoa; Chordata; Mammalia; Didelphimorphia; Didelphidae
Source: RefSeq, a predicted model, not a curated record
AGAAUUUAGAUGCUGGGGGAAACUGAGUGACUCAGUGGAUUGAGAACCAGGCAAAGAAAGGGGAGGUCCCAAGUUCAAAUCUGGCCUCAGCCACUUCUUAGCUGUGUGACCCUGGGUGACUGAGGCCAAAUGAAUAAUGGAACAGAAAAAUGCUAAGAAAUCACAGAACUGGAGCAACCCCAUGGGAUAGCCAAAGGAAAAUAAACACAUAUAGCCAGAGGCAGAUCUGGCCAUAGAAAGAGAAAGUGGACUCUUGCCACAGUCAUCUUAUUAGGACAAUUGUAGAAUCAAUUCAUUUAGUAACUAGAAAUUUGAUAGUGAUGUGGUCAUUGUAGCAGAACUAUAAUGAGGAUUGAGGGAUUAUCCAGAAUAAAGUUGGGAACCUU